Non-coding RNA from Megalops atlanticus (tarpon), 73 nucleotides. The record is from the annotation of a GenBank genome assembly. Lineage: Eukaryota; Metazoa; Chordata; Actinopteri; Elopiformes; Megalopidae.
AGCACAGUGGCUCAGUGGUUAGCACUGUUGCCUCACAGAAAAAAGGUCCUGCGUUCGAGUCCUGGCUGUCCAA